UAUACAUGACUCUGCGCAUAUCAAUAAGCGGAGGAAAAGAAACUAACAAGGAUUCCCUUAGUAACGGCGAGUGAAGCGGGAAGAGCUCAAAUUUGAAAUCUUCAAGGUUCUACCUUGACGAAUUGUAGUUUAUAGAAGUGUUUUCUGUUAGUAGAGUGGCAAAAGUUCUUUGGAAUAGGACAUCAUAGAGGGUGAGAAUCCCGUAUUUGGUCAUUCUUUCUAGCUUUGUGAUACACUUUCAACGAGUCGGAUUGUUUGGGAAUGCAGUCCAAAAUGGGUGGUAAAUUUCAUCUAAAGCUAAAUAUUGGCGAGAGACCGAUAGCGAACAAGUACCGUGAGGGAAAGAUGAAAAGAACUUUGAAAAGAGAGUUAAACAGUACGUGAAAUUGUCAAGAGGGAAGCGUUUGACACCAGUGUUGUUUUUCCGAAAAUCAAUUACGAAUGUUUUGUUUUUGAGAAGUUAUGACUUCAUCGGCUUGCUUCUUUCUUUUCAGAAAUUAUUGAAUGCACUUUUCGGUUAACAAGUCAACAUCAAUUUCUUUUGUUGUAAAAGAGUAUUCGGAAGGUGGCUUUCUUUUCGGAGAAAGUGUUUAUAGCCCUAUACUUCUACAAUCGGAGAGAUUGAGGUCUGCAGCGUAGAUCCUUCGGGGUUAGAUACAUUUGUGCUAAGUUAUAGCUUUUCAUAGACAACUUGUUGACUAUGUUUAGUCUUGUAGCUUACUCGCUUAUGCCAUUUUACCUACGCUUAGGAUGUUGACGAGACUGUCGAUCUCAUCAAUACAUGACUCUGUGCAUAUCAAUAAGCGGAGGAAAAGGUACCUACGCUUAGGAUGUUGACGCGCGUGCUCGAUCUAUACAUGACUCUGCGCAUAUCAAUAAGCGGAGGAAAAGAGGGCUAUUACCUACGCUUAGGAUGUUGACGAGACUGUCGAUCUCAUCUAUACAUGACUCUGUGCAUAUCAAUAAGCGGAGGAAAAGCUGUUACCUACGCUUAGGAUGUUGACGAGACUGUCGAUCUC
Molecule: ribosomal RNA, 1019 nt
Filed under: uncultured Neocallimastigales
Lineage: Eukaryota; Fungi; Neocallimastigomycota; Neocallimastigomycetes; Neocallimastigales
Description: partial large subunit ribosomal RNA
Rfam family: Eukaryotic large subunit ribosomal RNA
Source: RNAcentral